RNAcentral lists this ribosomal RNA (241 nucleotides) under uncultured bacterium. RNAcentral describes it as "partial 16S ribosomal RNA". It matches the Rfam family "Bacterial small subunit ribosomal RNA", at positions 536 to 776 of the family's 1533-position model. The record is from RNAcentral.
AAGCGUUGUUCGGAAUUACUGGGCGUAAAGGGUGCGCAGGCCGCGCGGGCAGUCAAAUGUGUAAUCCAGGGGCUCAACCCCUGAACUGCGCUUGAUACUUCCGCGCUCGAGCUUUGGAGAGGAGUCUGGAAUUCUCGGUGUAGCAGUGAAAUGCGUGGAUAUCGAGAAGAACACUUAGGGCGUAGGCAAGACUCUGGACAAAUGCUGACGCUCAUGCACGAAAGCUAGGGUAGCGAACGGG